RNAcentral lists this ribosomal RNA (468 nucleotides) under uncultured bacterium. RNAcentral describes it as "partial 16S ribosomal RNA". It matches the Rfam family "Bacterial small subunit ribosomal RNA", at positions 28 to 507 of the family's 1533-position model. The record is from RNAcentral.
GACGAACGCUGGCGGCGUGCUUAACACAUGCAAGUCGAACGGAAGGGCCCUGCUUUUGUGGGGUGCUCGAGUGGCGAACGGGUGAGUAACACGUGAGUAACCUGCCCUUGACUUUGGGAUAACUUCAGGAAACUGGGGCUAAUACCGGAUAGGAGCUCCUGCUGCAUGGUGGGGGUUGGAAAGUUUCGGCGGUUGGGGAUGGACUCGCGGCUUAUCAGCUUGUUGGUGGGGUAGUGGCUUACCAAGGCUUUGACGGGUAGCCGGCCUGAGAGGGUGACCGGCCACAUUGGGACUGAGAUACGGCCCAGACUCCUACGGGGGGCAGCAGUGGGGAAUAUUGCACAAUGGGCGGAAGCCUGAUGCAGCAACGCCGCGUGCGGGAUGACGGCCUUCGGGUUGUAAACCGCUUUCGCCUGUGACGAAGCGUGAGUGACGGUAAUGGGUAAAGAAGCACCGGCUAACUACGUG